This 93-nucleotide transfer RNA is filed under the name Cystobacter fuscus. RNAcentral's name for it is "tRNA-Arg". Lineage: Bacteria; Pseudomonadati; Myxococcota; Myxococcia; Myxococcales; Archangiaceae. The record is from RNAcentral.
GCUCGGGCAGCCUGGGAACGGGGGGCUCCGGCUCCGACCUGGACACCCGUGACUCGGGCACGGGCGGCUCCGGCUCCGACCCGGGCACGGGCG